Molecule: ribosomal RNA, 471 nt
Filed under: uncultured organism
Description: partial 16S ribosomal RNA
Rfam family: Bacterial small subunit ribosomal RNA
Source: RNAcentral
CACUCCUGCGGGAGGCAGCAGUGGGGAAUUUUGGACAAUGGGCGAAAGCCUGAUCCAGCCAUGCCGCGUGCAGGAUGAAGGCCUUCGGGUUGUAAACUGCUUUCGUACGGAACGAAACGGCCUUUUCUAAUAAAGAGGGCUAAUGACGGUACCGUAAGAAUAAGCACCGGCUAACUACGUGCCAGCAGCCGCGGUAAUACGUAGGGUGCAAGCGUUAAUCGGAAUUACUGGGCGUAAAGCGUGCGCAGGCGGUUAUGUAAGACAGUUGUGAAAUCCCCGGGCUCAACCUGGGAACUGCAUCGGUGACUGCAUAGCUAGAGUACGGUAGAGGGGGAUGGAAUUCCGCGUGUAGCAGUGAAAUGCGUAGAUAUGCGGAGGAACACCGAUGGCGAAGGCAAUCCCCUGGACCUGUACUGACGCUCAUGCACGAAAGCGUGGGGAGCAAACAGGAUUAGAUACCCGAGUAGUCCC